RNAcentral lists this long non-coding RNA (872 nucleotides) under Gallus gallus (chicken). The record is from RNAcentral. Lineage: Eukaryota; Metazoa; Chordata; Aves; Galliformes; Phasianidae.
AAGCAACUGCUGCAGUUCAUGCAAACCUGUAGGAUGGAGGAGUACUUGGGUUCCAGUCUGUGAAAGGGGAAAGGGAAUGCUGGCAGGAGCGACUGCGGCAGUUGACUGGGGAGGGUCUGCAUACCCCAUGACCUUGUGGGCUAUCUCCCCAGCUGCAGGAGGACCAGAGAAGGGCAGAUGAAAAGCUGCAGCCGAGCCUGAUAGGCCUGCACAACUCUCAGGCCAUCUUGCCAAAGGGAGCUGUGACACACUGAUUCAUUCUAUGCAGAUUGGCCACGCGGUGGCAGCAGAGACCGCGGAAAGAACUUCGACGGAGUUCACGCGGACCUGCAGCACGAGAACCCAAAGAGGAAGGGAAGGAAAAAGAUGAAAACCAAGGAAAGCUUCUCCGCACCCAGGAAGUCUGUGCUAAGUGCUUAGGAAUAUCCGUAAAAAAUGAUCGAAUUGAUGUUGCCAUGUUUGUUUGUUUUUGGUUCUUCUGCCAGCGUCUCUUACAUCGUUUUCAAAUACUCAAGCACCAAAAUCUAACUACCGAGCAAACUUAACGAUAAGGAAACUAAGGCAUUGCUGCUGUACCAGGGGAAGCGGCGUAAUCCGCCGCACAGCAGGGCCCCGGCCAUCGUCCGCCGCUGAGCGGGGCGUGACAUGUGGCGAUGUGUGCGGCACGCGACCUUCCGUCCCGGGGAGGAGGCGCGGGCAAGAAGCGCGCUGCCCUCAGCCCAUGGGGCCCUCAUGGCCGGCAGAGCCCUCGGCUUAUGAAAUGAAGGGUUACUGGCAAAGGUGCGUUGCACGGAGGAGUUACCGAGAUGAAGUUGAGCUUUGCCGGUGGAUCUGUGGUCGCAUCGUACCAUUAGCGCUCUUUACAGGUGAGG